Molecule: transfer RNA, 65 nt
Filed under: Lycostomus sp. YXY-2021
Lineage: Eukaryota; Metazoa; Arthropoda; Insecta; Coleoptera; Lycidae
Description: tRNA-Glu
Source: RNAcentral
AUUUAUAUAGUUUAAGAAAAACCUUACAUUUUCAUUGUAAAAUUAAAAUUAUAUUUUAUAAAUAU